RNAcentral lists this ribosomal RNA (200 nucleotides) under uncultured bacterium. RNAcentral's name for it is "partial 16S ribosomal RNA". It matches the Rfam family "Bacterial small subunit ribosomal RNA", at positions 30 to 225 of the family's 1533-position model. The record is from RNAcentral.
AUUGAACGCUGGCGGCAUGCCUUACACAUGCAAGUCGAACGGCAGCACGGGAGCAAUCCUGGUGGCGAGUGGCGAACGGGUGAGUAAUAUAUCGGAACGUGCCCAGUCGUGGGGGAGUAACGCAGCGAAAGCUGUGCUAAUACCGCAUACGAUCUAUGAUGAAGACGGGAGGGUAGGCGACGAACGACCGCGCGCGUGUA